RNAcentral lists this long non-coding RNA (216 nucleotides) under Zonotrichia albicollis (white-throated sparrow). RNAcentral describes it as "lncRNA (ENSZALG00000013236.1)". The record is from RNAcentral. Lineage: Eukaryota; Metazoa; Chordata; Aves; Passeriformes; Passerellidae.
UGCUCUGGGUUUCCACACAGGGCUCCUGGAACUGUGACCAUUCCUCUGGGCUCAGCUCCCUCUGGCAAUGAUCCCCCAGCAAUCUCAGGGCACGGCCUGGCCAGGAUCCUGCAGCAGCCGGCUCUGGGAGCACCUGGAACAUCCCUCUUCUCCCAGGCAUGGAUCCUGGCACCAUUGUAAGUGCUGAAAGUCACGGACUAUAAAGAGAAAAGGUAA